RNAcentral lists this ribosomal RNA (465 nucleotides) under uncultured bacterium. RNAcentral's name for it is "partial 16S ribosomal RNA". It matches the Rfam family "Bacterial small subunit ribosomal RNA", at positions 338 to 795 of the family's 1533-position model. The record is from RNAcentral.
CCUACGGGAGGCAGCAGUAGGGAAUCUUCCACAAUGGGCGAAAGCCUGAUGGAGCAACGCCGCGUGGGUGAAGAAGGUCUUCGGAUCGUAAAACCCUGUUGUUAGAGAAGAAAGUGCGUGAGAGUAACUGUUCACGUUUCGACGGUAUCUAACCAGACAGCCACGGCUAACUACGUGCCAGCAGCCGCGGUAAUACGUAGGUGGCAAGCGUUAUCCGGAUUUAUUGGGCGUAAAGGGAACGCAGGCGGUCUUUUAAGUCUGAUGUGAAAGCCUUCGGCUUAACCGGGGUAGUGCAUUGGAAACUGGGAGACUUGAGUGCAGAAGAGGAGAGUGGAACUCCAUGUGUAGCGGUGAAAUGCGUAGAUAUAUGGAAGAACACCAGUGGCGAAAGCGGCUCUCUGGGCUGUAACUGACGCUGAGGUUCGAAAGCGUGGGUAGCAAACAGGAUUAGAUACCCGAGUAGUC